GAGUUUGAGCCUGGAUCUCGAUGACGCUAUCGGCUCGCUUAAUGCAUGCAAGUCCAAGGAUGAGGCCCCUAUUGGUGUACAUCAGACCGGGACCCUGGUGAGACACGUAGGUGGCCUGCUCCCCUGAAACGGAUACCGGCCGGAACCGGUCGCUUGACCUCAUAUGGUCUGACCUUCGGGAUAAGGUGAGAGGAAAAGCUUCGGUGCUCGGGGAUGGGCCUGCGGGUUUUAGCUGUCACCUGAAGUGUGGCUCCAGCGUGGCCCGAAUGACAAGGGGGGCGGAAAGGAGGAUCCCCCCCCCGGGUCCUGAAACUCGGACCAAACUCCUCCGGAAGGCAGCACUGAGGAAUAUUGGGCAAUGGACGCAAGUCUGACCCUCCCUUGCCGCGUGAAGGAUGACUGCCCUAAGGGUUGUAAACUGCUUUUGUUUGGGAACAAACCCCCCAUCGUGAUCAGGGCUGACGGUACCCUACGAAUAAGCAUCGGCUAACUCCGUGCCAUCAGCCGCGGUAAUACGGAGGAUGCAAGCGUUAUCCCGAUUCCUUGGGUUUAACGGGUGCGCAGCCAGAAUAUUAAGUCACUGGUGAAAUCUCGCACCUUACCUGUAGAACUGCCAUUGAUACUGAUGUGCUUGAAUAUAGUUGACGUGGGCACAAUGUGUAAUGUAGCGGUGAAAUGCUUACAUAUUACACAUAACACCAUGUGCGAACGCAGCUCACUAGCCUAUUAUCGACGCUGAGGCACGAAAGCGU
RNAcentral lists this ribosomal RNA (752 nucleotides) under uncultured organism. Its description in RNAcentral is "bacterial SSU rRNA". It matches the Rfam family "Bacterial small subunit ribosomal RNA", at positions 9 to 762 of the family's 1533-position model. The record is from RNAcentral.